GAGUGAACUUGCCUACUUUGUUAAAGCCGAUAAAAUCAAAAUAUCAAUGCUAAUGGACUUCGCAAAUAUUGAACUCAUGUUGGAAAAACAUUGAUCAAAGGCUUAUUAAAAUUAAACUAUAACUAUUACAAAAGCAUACGAAAGGACACCGAUAGUUGUUCGAGAAACUGAAUUGUUGGAAUUAGCAAUCAUGACGACGAAAUGCUGUCCGCUAUAUCUGUCCAUCAUGACGUGGGCACUUACACUGCUGCUGCUAUUUUCUGCUACGGAGGCGCGAUACGCUCGCCGUCACUACGAUCCGCCGGUUGAAGAUUGCCAGUUUAGUUGUAACGUAGACUUAUACAAAUGUGACCUAAAAUGUAAAUAUCUGCGGGACUUUCAAGGCGAGAAACUUAAGAAAUGUCAUUCAGACUGUGCUGAUAAAUUCUUGGACUGUUUUGUUGGAUGUUUUUCUGUGAAUUACUCUUCAGGAUUUAGUCCAUUUGGAGACUAUGGUUUCAAAUGACCUUUGAACAAUUAAGAUUGACACUCUUAUAUUGAUAAUGAAACACGAUCACUGACAGAGCAGCAGCAAGUUUUAUUUAUAUUUCAAGUCCGCUAGCAACAUCCUCACUUAAUUGAAUAUCGUGUUAAAUAUUUAGAACUUUAGUGAUCCAUUAUUCACAAGGGCACUAAAAUACCUUCUCAGCGGGCCAUGUGGUUAAUUAUAACAUAGAUGAACCUCACAUGUUGCUCUAUAUUUAUCUUACUCCACCUUUUCGGCUCACCCAAGGCGCCACGUAAUCAUUACAUUUUAUGUAUGUAGUUUUCUCAAGACCUUUUUGUAAUAGUUCUGGUAACAGGCAAAACGAGCGUAAUUACGUUGGCUCUGAACUUACUGUUUGACUUGAAAACAAGGUUGGGUGUUUAUGGGUGCACAGAAUUCAUGAUUCAGAGGAGUAAAAUUCGAUUCAUGAUCCUUUUGAGGUGUUAAUUUUGUUAGUUGUAAAUGACUUAUUUAUUAUUGUUUGGAUGUGAAUAUGAUUUGUAUAUAAUUUGCAUAUCCUGACUAUUUUUCGCAGGUACGAAAAUGUUCAAUUGUUAAGACACAUGGAACAAAUGUUUGUUCUAUGAAAUGUAGACCUGUAUUGCAAAGAUGUAUAUGUUUUAUUGCAAUCUCUUAUUUUAGUUUUUAAAAUGCCUACAAUUUCAUUUUUUUUCUAAUCAAGAAAGGUUAGAUAAAAUACGCUGUUUAGUUAAACUUGUGAACAAAUAAAGCAUUAUACUCUCGAUUUUAUCUGGUUUUGUUGCAUUUUGAUACCAUAUUUAAGAAAAUUGUCGUUUUGUUUGUCAAUGAUUUUGUUGAAAGGUAUUUUCUGGUUAAUUUGAAAAUAAAAUGAAGAAAACCUUA
Mya arenaria is the source of this 1390-nucleotide long non-coding RNA. RefSeq lists it as uncharacterized. The transcript has 2 exons. The record is from RefSeq and is a predicted model, not a curated record. Lineage: Eukaryota; Metazoa; Mollusca; Bivalvia; Myida; Myidae.